CCUACGGGAGGCUGCAGUGGGGAAUAUUGGACAAUGGGGGAAACCCUGAUCCAGCGACGCCGCGUGAGUGAAGAAGUAUUCAGGUACGUAAAGCUCUAUCAGCAGGAAAGAAAAUGACGGUACCUGACUAAGAAGCCCGUGCUAACUACGGGCCAGCAGCCGCGGGAAUACGUAGGGGGCAAGCGUUAUCCGGAUGAACUGGGUGUAAAGGGAGCGUAGGCGGAGGCGCAAGUCUGGAGUGAAAUGCCGGGGGCCAACCCCGGAACUGCUCUGGAAACUGGGAAGCUGGAGUGCAGGAGAGGUAAGCGGAAUGCCUGGUGUAGCGGUGAAAUGCGUAGAUAUCAGGAGGAACACCGGCGGCGAAGGCGGCUUACUGGACUGUAUCUGACGUUGAGGCUCGAAGGCGUGGGGAGCAAGCAGGAUUAGAUACCCGUGUAGUC
This 440-nucleotide ribosomal RNA is filed under the name uncultured bacterium. RNAcentral's name for it is "partial 16S ribosomal RNA". It matches the Rfam family "Bacterial small subunit ribosomal RNA", at positions 338 to 795 of the family's 1533-position model. The record is from RNAcentral.